UUAAGUUAUUAAGGGCGCACGGUGGAUGCCUUGGCACUAGAAGCCGAUGAAGGACGUUACUAACGACGAUAUGCUUUGGGGAGCUGUAAGUAAGCUUUGAUCCAGAGAUUUCCGAAUGGGGAAACCCAGCAUGAGUUAUGUCAUGUUAUCGAUAUGUGAAUACAUAGCAUAUCAGAAGGCACACCCGGAGAACUGAAACAUCUUAGUACCCGGAGGAAGAGAAAGAAAAUUCGAUUCCCUUAGUAGCGGCGAGCGAAACGGGAAGAGCCCAAACCAACAAGCUUGCUUGUUGGGGUUGUAGGACACUCUAUACGGAGUUACAAAGGACGACAUUAGACGAAUCAUCUGGAAAGAUGAAUCAAAGAAGGUAAUAAUCCUGUAGUCGAAAAUGUUGUCUCUCUUGAGUGGAUCCUGAGUACGACGGAGCACGUGAAAUUCCGUCGGAAUCUGGGAGGACCAUCUCCUAAGGCUAAAUACUCUCUAGUGACCGAUAGUGAACCAGUACCGUGAGGGAAAGGUGAAAAGCACCCCGGAAGGGGAGUGAAAUAGAACCUGAAACCGUGUGCUUACAAGUAGUCAGAGCCCGUUAAUGGGUGAUGGCGUGCCUUUUGUAGAAUGAACCGGCGAGUUACGAUUUGAUGCAAGGUUAAGCAGUAAAUGUGGAGCCGUAGCGAAAGCGAGUCUGAAUAGGGCGUUUAGUAUUUGGUCGUAGACCCGAAACCAGGUGAUCUACCCUUGGUCAGGUUGAAGUUCAGGUAACACUGAAUGGAGGACCGAACCGACUUACGUUGAAAAGUGAGCGGAUGAACUGAGGGUAGCGGAGAAAUUCCAAUCGAACCUGGAGAUAGCUGGUUCUCUCCGAAAUAGCUUUAGGGCUAGCCUCAAGUGAUGAUUAUUGGAGGUAGAGCACUGUUUGGACGAGGGGCCCCUCUCGGGUUACCGAAUUCAGACAAACUCCGAAUGCCAAUUAAUUUAACUUGGGAGUCAGAACAUGGGUGAUAAGGUCCGUGUUCGAAAGGGAAACAGCCCAGACCACCAGCUAAGGUCCCAAAAUAUAUGUUAAGUGGAAAAGGAUGUGGCGUUGCCCAGACAACUAGGAUGUUGGCUUAGAAGCAGCCAUCAUUUAAAGAGUGCGUAAUAGCUCACUAGUCGAGUGACACUGCGCCGAAAAUGUACCGGGGCUAAACAUAUUACCGAAGCUGUGGAUUGUCCUUUGGACAAUGGUAGGAGAGCGUUCUAAGGGCGUUGAAGCAUGAUCGUAAGGACAUGUGGAGCGCUUAGAAGUGAGAAUGCCGGUGUGAGUAGCGAAAGACGGGUGAGAAUCCCGUCCACCGAUUGACUAAGGUUUCCAGAGGAAGGCUCGUCCGCUCUGGGUUAGUCGGGUCCUAAGCUGAGGCCGACAGGCGUAGGCGAUGGAUAACAGGUUGAUAUUCCUGUACCACCUAUAAUCGUUUUAAUCGAUGGGGGGACGCAGUAGGAUAGGCGAAGCGUGCGAUUGGAUUGCACGUCUAAGCAGUAAGGCUGAGUAUUAGGCAAAUCCGGUACUCGUUAAGGCUGAGCUGUGAUGGGGAGAAGACAUUGUGUCUUCGAGUCGUUGAUUUCACACUGCCGAGAAAAGCCUCUAGAUAGAAAAUAGGUGCCCGUACCGCAAACCGACACAGGUAGUCAAGAUGAGAAUUCUAAGGUGAGCGAGCGAACUCUCGUUAAGGAACUCGGCAAAAUGACCCCGUAACUUCGGGAGAAGGGGUGCUCUUUAGGGUUAACGCCCAGAAGAGCCGCAGUGAAUAGGCCCAAGCGACUGUUUAUCAAAAACACAGGUCUCUGCUAAACCGUAAGGUGAUGUAUAGGGGCUGACGCCUGCCCGGUGCUGGAAGGUUAAGAGGAGUGGUUAGCUUCUGCGAAGCUACGAAUCGAAGCCCCAGUAAACGGCGGCCGUAACUAUAACGGUCCUAAGGUAGCGAAAUUCCUUGUCGGGUAAGUUCCGACCCGCACGAAAGGCGUAACGAUUUGGGCACUGUCUCAACGAGAGACUCGGUGAAAUCAUAGUACCUGUGAAGAUGCAGGUUACCCGCGACAGGACGGAAAGACCCCGUGGAGCUUUACUGUAGCCUGAUAUUGAAAUUCGGCACAGCUUGUACAGGAUAGGUAGGAGCCUUUGAAACGUGAGCGCUAGCUUACGUGGAGGCGCUGGUGGGAUACUACCCUAGCUGUGUUGGCUUUCUAACCCGCACCACUUAUCGUGGUGGGAGACAGUGUCAGGCGGGCAGUUUGACUGGGGCGGUCGCCUCCUAAAAGGUAACGGAGGCGCUCAAAGGUUCCCUCAGAAUGGUUGGAAAUCAUUCAUAGAGUGUAAAGGCAUAAGGGAGCUUGACUGCGAGACCUACAAGUCGAGCAGGGUCGAAAGACGGACUUAGUGAUCCGGUGGUUCCGCAUGGAAGGGCCAUCGCUCAACGGAUAAAAGCUACCCCGGGGAUAACAGGCUUAUCUCCCCCAAGAGUUCACAUCGACGGGGAGGUUUGGCACCUCGAUGUCGGCUCAUCGCAUCCUGGGGCUGUAGUCGGUCCCAAGGGUUGGGCUGUUCGCCCAUUAAAGCGGUACGCGAGCUGGGUUCAGAACGUCGUGAGACAGUUCGGUCCCUAUCCGUCGUGGGCGUAGGAAAUUUGAGAGGAGCUGUCCUUAGUACGAGAGGACCGGGAUGGACAUACCUCUGGUGUACCAGUUGUCGUGCCAACGGCAUAGCUGGGUAGCUAUGUGUGGACGGGAUAAGCGCUGAAAGCAUCUAAGCAUGAAGCCCCCCUCAAGAUGAGAUUUCCCAACUUCGGUUAUAAGAUCCCUCAAAGAUGAUGAGGUUAAUAGGUUCGAGGUGGAAGCAUGGUGACAUGUGGAGCUGACGAAUACUAAUCGAUCGAAGACUUAAUCAA
This 2921-nucleotide ribosomal RNA is filed under the name Staphylococcus aureus. Its description in RNAcentral is "23S ribosomal RNA". It matches the Rfam family "Bacterial large subunit ribosomal RNA". The record is from RNAcentral. Lineage: Bacteria; Bacillati; Bacillota; Bacilli; Caryophanales; Staphylococcaceae.